Molecule: small nucleolar RNA, 239 nt
Organism: Gorilla gorilla gorilla (western lowland gorilla)
Lineage: Eukaryota; Metazoa; Chordata; Mammalia; Primates; Hominidae
Gene: U3
Rfam family: Small nucleolar RNA U3
About the family: Small nucleolar RNAs (snoRNAs) are involved in the processing and modification of rRNA in the nucleolus. There are two main classes of snoRNAs: the box C/D class, and the box H/ACA class.
Source: Ensembl
UUGUAUUUUUUGUAGAGAUGGGGUCUCUCCCAUGGGCACAGUCUCAUUGUUUCUAUAGUUUAUUACCAGAAAAGUUUCUCUGAAUGUGUAGAGCACUGGAAACCAUGAGGAAGAGGCAUAGCGUUCUCCCUUGAGCAUCAAGUUGGCUGUUGGUGUUGCUUUGCUGCAAAUGCCAUUUGUCAUUGUCUUCCUUGUCUUCCUUUAGGAGAGUAAAAGGGAGAGGACACAGUCUGGGUAGU